GACGAACGCUGGCGGCGUGCUUAACACAUGCAAGUCGAACGGAAAGGCCCUGCUUUUGUGGGGUGCUCGAGUGGCGAACGGGUGAGUAACACGUGAGUAACCUGCCCUUGACUUUGGGAUAACUUCAGGAAACUGGGGCUAAUACCGGAUAGGAGCUCCUGCUGCAUGGUGGGGGUUGGAAAGUUUCGGCGGGUGGGGAUGGACUCGCGGCUUAUCAGCUUGUUGGUGGGGUAGUGGCUUACCAAGGCUUUGACGGGUAGCCGGCCUGAGAGGGUGACCGGCCACAUUGGGACUGAGAGACGGCCCAGACGCCUACGGGAGGCAGCAGGGGGGAAUAUUGCACAAUGGGCGGAAGCCUGAUGCAGAAACGCCGCGUGCGGGAAGACGGCCUUCGGGGUGUAAACCGCUUUCGCCUGUGACGAAGCGUGAGUGACGGUAAUGGGUAAAGAAGCACCGGCUAACUACGUG
Molecule: ribosomal RNA, 468 nt
Filed under: uncultured bacterium
Lineage: Bacteria
Description: partial 16S ribosomal RNA
Rfam family: Bacterial small subunit ribosomal RNA
Source: RNAcentral